CAGUCGCCGCGGUAAUACGGAGGGUGCAAGCGUUAAUCGGAAUUACUGGGCGUAGAGCGCACGCAGGCGGUUUGUUAAGUCAGAUGUGAAAUCCCCGAGCUUAACUUGGGAACUGCAUUUGAAACUGGCAAGCUAGAGUCUUGUAGAGGGGGGUAGAAUUCCAGGUGUAGCGGUGAAAUGCGUAGAGAUCUGGAGGAAUACCGGUGGUGAAGGCGGCCCCCUGGACAAAGACUGACGCUCAGGUGCGAAAGCGUGGGGAGCAAACAGGAUUAGAUACCCGCGUAGUCCCUGUCUCUUAUAC
Molecule: ribosomal RNA, 301 nt
Filed under: uncultured bacterium
Lineage: Bacteria
Description: partial 16S ribosomal RNA
Rfam family: Bacterial small subunit ribosomal RNA
Source: RNAcentral